This is a long non-coding RNA of Pseudophryne corroboree (corroboree frog), 1981 nucleotides long. RefSeq lists it as uncharacterized. The transcript is spliced from 4 exons. NCBI's taxonomy places the organism in Eukaryota, Metazoa, Chordata, Amphibia, Anura, Myobatrachidae. The record is from RefSeq and is a predicted model, not a curated record.
GUUUUGUCUGUUGCACAGGGUUAUCGUGGCAACACAGCCGGGACUCGUGACGUCUCUUCCGGGGGAAGUAGACAGCCCAGGGGGACGGAGCCGGGCCCGGGACGUGUGAGCAGCGGUGACCAGCAUGGGGGAGACUACAGGGGGGUUCUCACCGACCAGCUGAUUGUCUGCUGUAACAAAGUCUCUGCUGCCGACUCCUCCCUUAUACUACGCCUCACCUCAGACCCGUUUAGGUAGAUGUGUCCCAGAUGUAGAUAUGACCAGGUCCGUGUGCUUUGGACCUCUCUCUCAACGCGUUUCUCCGCCUAAAGACUCAGCGGCUUCCUCAGGAGAAAUAAUGACCUAUUCCAAGCGCUAUUCCAAGCUUCCCACAAAAACGGGCAUUCAACAGAAUCGAAUGCCUUUGUGGCAUCUAAAGACACUAUAGCUGAUAACAACUCAUCCUCAUGGGACGAAGUCGACCUGAUCUCCAUGAAUCAGCGUUGGAAGGAAUAAUUUUAAGCGGUUAGAAAUCAAUUUGGCGAACAGCUUCAGAUCGACGUUCAAUAAUGAAAUGGGUCGGUAGCUGGGACAUAAACUCAUGUCUUUGCCGUCUUUGGGAAGAACUGUGAUAUGUGCUUCUAAUGUAGAUGUCGAAAAAUGUGUUUUGUCAGAAAUGGAAUUGAAAGUGUAAGAAGAGGGGCGAGUUUAUCUUUAAACGAUUUAUAAUACGCUAUGGUAAAUCCAUCGGGGUCUGGACUCUUGCCCGUAGGGGAAGAUUCAAUAGCCUUUACCACUUCCUCAACAAGGAAAGGCUCAUCUAGAAAUUCUGCCUCAUCUUGUGUCAGGGUGGGGUAAUCUAUCGAUUAUAGAUAAAUUGAGAUCAACAUCCUAGAAGAUUCCAAAUUCGAAUUGUCUAUACUACUGGAAAGGUUGUAAAGUUUGGAAUAGUAUGAUUUGAAUGUCAUGGCUAUCGAUGCAGUGUCAUUAUGAGUCUGACUAAGGUCAUCUUUGAUAGAGUGUAUGAAUGUAGUGGCCCUCUGUUCACGAAGAGCUUUUGCCAAAAGUCUCCCGGGUUUGUUGCCCCAUUGGUAAAAACCACUCCGGCAUUUGCUAUAUGAGAGCUUAAGUUGAUCUCGAAGAAGACCUAUUAAGGGAGGCACGUGCUUCUUCAAAUUCAAUACAGUAAGUGGGGGAUCCGGAUUGUUUGUGGGACGUUUUCCAACUAUUUAAUUUUAGCAAGUAGGUCUGCUUUCUUCUGGGUGUUUUGCUUUUUCAAUAAAGAACCCAACUGGAUGCAAGUACCCCUUAGAACACAUUUGUGAGCUUCCCACACUGAUAAUUUAGAAAUAUCGUCAAGAUUAUUAGUUGCAAUAUAUGUAUCAAUAGCCGAGUCUCAUUCGGUUUUACAGUACGGGUCUUGUAGGACAGUGUCAUUAAAACGCCAAAAAGACCGGGGCAUGGUCGGACCAAGUUAUCGAUCCUAUAGAAACAUCAGAUAGGAGAUGUAGGUAAUGGUGAUUCAGGAACAGAUAGUCUAUCCUAGAAUAGGUUUGAUGUGCGUAGGAGAAAAAAGUGUAGUCUAGGUCAGUUGGGUGGGACAGUCUCCAAACAUCCAUUAGUUGGUGAUCUAACAGGGUGCGUCUCAACUGUCUGUGUUCCUUCCCAGGUAUAUGUGAAGAUUUAUUGGAGGUAUCCUUUGUCGGAUCGAGAUGCCAAUUCAGAUCGCCUCCCAUUACCACUAUCUCUUUUAAAAGGGGUUCUGCAGAUACAAGUAUGGAAGAGAUGAAGGAUGGUUGUUUUGUAUUAGGGACAUAAAUAUUUAGAAAGGAAUAAGGCUGGUUGUAGAUCUGACAUGUGACCAAUAAGCCCCUCCCCUCUGCCAACUUGUGAGAAGCAAUAUCCGUAAUAGGGAGAUGUCUAGCUAUCAAGAUCGCCACUCCUAAAGUUUUCCCAUAAGAGUUGUUCAAUGUAAAAAUAUAUGGGUAGUAGUGACAUUUAA